This 240-nucleotide ribosomal RNA is filed under the name uncultured bacterium. RNAcentral's name for it is "partial 16S ribosomal RNA". It matches the Rfam family "Bacterial small subunit ribosomal RNA", at positions 103 to 334 of the family's 1533-position model. The record is from RNAcentral.
CGGGUGAGGAAUGCAUGGGUAACCUGUCCUUGAGAAGGGAAUAACCCGCCGAAAGGUGAGCUAAUACCCUAUACGCUUCGCUUUUUUUGAAAAGUGAAGGAAAGUCAAGCCGUGGGCUUGGCGCUCUCGGAGGGGCUCAUGUCCUAUCAGCUUGUUGGUGGGGUAACGGCCUACCAAGGCUACGACGGGUAGCUGGUCUGAGAGGAUGAUCAGCCACACUGGCACUGAGAUACGGGCCAG